UAACGAUACGGGACUCAUCCGAGGCCCCGUAAUCGGAAUGAGUACACUUUAAAUCCUUUAACAAGGAUCCAUUGGAGGGCAAGUCUGGUGCCAGCAGCCGCGGUAAUUCCAGCUCCAAUAGCGUAUAUUAAAGUUGUUGCGGUUAAAAAGCUCGUAGUUGAAUUUGUGUGCCACGCUGUUGGUUCAUCGCUCGCGAUGUUUAACUGACAUGAUUGUGGGACGUCCUACCGGUGGGCUUAGCCUUUCGGGGCGGUCCAGCUAAUAUCCCAUCGCGGUGCUCUUGAUUGAGUGUCGAGGUGGGCCGGUACGUUUACUUUGAACAAAUUAGAGUGCUCAAAGCAGGCUAUGUUUGCCUGAAUACUGUGUGCAUGGAAUAAUGGAAUAGGACCUCGGUUCUAUUUUGUUGGUUUUCGGAGCCCCGAGGUAAUGAUUAAUAGGGACAGAUGGGGGCAUUCGUAUUGCGACGUUAGAGGUGAAAUUCUUGGAUCGUCGCAAGACGAACAGAAGCGAAAGCAUUUGCCAAAAAUGUUUUCAUUAAUCAAGAACGAAAGUUAGAGGUUCGAAGGCGAUCAGAUACCGCCCUAGUUCUAACCAUAAACGAUGCCAGCUAGCGAUCCGCCGAAGUUCCUCCGAUGACUCGGCGGGCAGCUUCCGGGAAACCAAAGCUUUUGGGUUCCGGGGGAAGUAUGGUUGCAAAGCUGAAACUUAAAGGAAUUGACGGAAGGGCACCACCAGGAGUGGAGCCUGCGGCUUAAUUUGACUCAACAC
This 768-nucleotide ribosomal RNA is filed under the name Chrysochalcissa olivacea. RNAcentral's name for it is "SSU rRNA". It matches the Rfam family "Eukaryotic small subunit ribosomal RNA", at positions 477 to 1206 of the family's 1831-position model. Lineage: Eukaryota; Metazoa; Arthropoda; Insecta; Hymenoptera; Torymidae. The record is from RNAcentral.